This 435-nucleotide ribosomal RNA is filed under the name uncultured bacterium. RNAcentral's name for it is "partial 16S ribosomal RNA". It matches the Rfam family "Bacterial small subunit ribosomal RNA", at positions 29 to 507 of the family's 1533-position model. The record is from RNAcentral.
AGCGAACGCUGGCGGCAGGCUUAACACAUGCAAGUCGAGCGGGCACUUUCGGGUGUCAGCGGCGGACGGGUGAGUAACGCGUGGGAACGUGCCCUCUGGUUCGGAAUAACUCAGGGAAACUUGAGCUAAUACCGGAUACGCCCUUUUGGGGAAAGGCUUGCUGCCGGAGGAUCGGCCCGCGUCUGAUUAGCUAGUUGGUGAGGUAACGGGUCACCAAGGCGACGAUCAGUAGCUGGUCUGAGAGGAUGAUCAGCCACACUGGGACUGAGACACGGCCCAGACUCCUACGGGAGGCAGCAGUGGGGAAUAUUGGACAAUGGGCGCAAGCCUGAUCCAGCCAUGCCGCGUGAGUGAUGAAGGCCUUAGGGUUGUAAAGCUCUUUUAUCCGGGACGAUAAUGACGGUACCGGAGGAAUAAGCCCCGGCUAACUUCGUG